RNAcentral lists this non-coding RNA (941 nucleotides) under Urosaurus nigricauda. Its description in RNAcentral is "12S ribosomal RNA". It matches the Rfam family "Bacterial small subunit ribosomal RNA". Lineage: Eukaryota; Metazoa; Chordata; Lepidosauria; Squamata; Phrynosomatidae. The record is from RNAcentral.
UAAAGUUUUGGUCCUAAACUUACUGCUACUUUUAAUCAAAAUUACACAUGCAAGUAUCCGCAUACCAGUGAACUAUGCCCUAAAAGUACAAACGGAGCAGGUAUCAGGCACGAACGUCAGCCCAAAACACCAAGCUACGCCACACCCACACGGGCCUACAGCAGUGAUAAACAUUGAGCAAUAGGCGAACUAACAACCCCUUAAGCCUGACUUAGUUAUGAUUAAUAAGGGCCGGUCAACCUCGUGCCAGCCACCGCGGUUAUACGAAGGGCCCAAAGCAGCAGAUACCGGCGUAAAUAGUGGCUAGAAUUACACCACACAUUAAAAGUUAAACCAUAGCCUAACCGUAAAACACAGGCUAAAUGAAACCAAAUACUUUUACCACACAGGUGAUUUGACCCACGAAAACUAAGAAACAAACUAGGAUUAGAUACCCUACUAUGCUUAGUCGUUAAUACGAUACUCUACUACACUAGUAUCCGCCAGAAAAUUACGAGUGAAAAACUUAAAACUCAAAGGACUUGGCGGUGCCCCAAAUCAACUUAGAGGAGCCUGUCCUGUAAUCGAUACUCCACGAUAAACCUCACCAACCUUAGCCCUUUCAGCCUAUAUACCGCCGUCGCCAACUUACUCCAUGAGGAAAGAACAGUAAGUAAAAAAGUCCAACACAAGAACGUCAGGUCAAGGUGUAGCUAAUAAGUUGGAAGUGAUGGGCUACAUUUUUUAAAAUAAAAAAUACGGCAUGGAACCGUGAAACCGGUUCCUAAAGGAGGAUUUAACAGUAAAAUUAGCAAGAAAGCCAAUUUUAAACCCGCUCUGGGGCGCGCACACACCGCCCGUCACCCUCAUCACACAAAAACCCCUAAUACAUAAAAAAUAAUAAACACCAAGAUGAGGCAAGUCGUAACAUGGUAAGCGCACUGGAAAGUGUGCUUGGAAUA